GACGAACGCUGGCGGCGUGCUUAACACAUGCAAGUCGAGCGGUAAGGCCCUUUCGGGGGUACACGAGCGGCGAACGGGUGAGUAACACGUGGGUGACCUGCCCUCAGCUCUGGGAUAAGCCUGGGAAACCGGGUCUAAUACUGGAUAUGACCCCAUGACGCAUGUUGUGGGGUGGAAAGCCUUGUGCGGCUGAGGAUGGGCCCGCGGCCUAUCAGCUUGUUGGUGGGGUGAUGGCCUACCAAGGCGACGACGGGUAGCCGGCCUGAGAGGGCGACCGGCCACACUGGGACUGAGACACGGCCCAGACUCCUACGGGAGGCAGCAGUGGGGAAUCUUGCGCAAUGGGCGAAAGCCUGACGCAGCGACGCCGCGUGAGGGAUGACGGCCUCGGUUGUAA
Molecule: ribosomal RNA, 397 nt
Filed under: uncultured bacterium
Lineage: Bacteria
Description: bacterial SSU rRNA
Rfam family: Bacterial small subunit ribosomal RNA
Source: RNAcentral